This 1252-nucleotide ribosomal RNA is filed under the name Streptococcus sp. HMSC076E03. Its description in RNAcentral is "bacterial LSU rRNA". It matches the Rfam family "Bacterial large subunit ribosomal RNA", at positions 1050 to 2316 of the family's 2925-position model. The record is from RNAcentral. Lineage: Bacteria; Bacillati; Bacillota; Bacilli; Lactobacillales; Streptococcaceae.
AAAUAUAUGUUAAGUGGAAAAGGAUGUGGGGUUGCACAGACAACUAGGAUGUUAGCUUAGAAGCAGCUAUUCAUUCAAAGAGUGCGUAAUAGCUCACUAGUCGAGUGACCCUGCGCCGAAAAUGUACCGGGGCUAAAACAUAUUACCGAAGCUGUGGAUGACACAAAAGUGUCAUGGUAGGAGAGCGUUCUAUGUGUGAAGAAGGUGUACCGUGAGGAGCGCUGGAACGCAUAGAAGUGAGAAUGCCGGUAUGAGUAGCGCAAGACAGGUGAGAAUCCUGUCCACCGUAAGACUAAGGUUUCCAGGGGAAGGCUCGUCCGCCCUGGGUUAGUCGGGACCUAAGGAGAGACCGAAAGGUGUAUCCGAUGGACAACAGGUUGAUAUUCCUGUACUAGAGUAUAUAGUGAUGGAGGGACGCAGUAGGCUAACUAAACCAGACGAUUGGAAGUGUCUGGUCAAACAGUGAGGUGUGAUAUGAGUCAAAUGCUUAUAUCUUUAACAUUGAGCUGUGACGAGGAGCGAAGUUUAGUAGCGAAGUUAGUGAUGUCACACUGCCAAGAAAAGCUUCUAGCGAUACAUAUACUCUACCCGUACCGCAAACCGACACAGGUAGUCGAGGCGAGUAGCCUCAGGUGAGCGAGAGAACUCUCGUUAAGGAACUCGGCAAAAUGGCCCCGUAACUUCGGGAGAAGGGGCGCUGAUUUUAGAUCAGCCGCAGUGAAUAGGCCCAAGCAACUGUUUAUCAAAAACACAGCUCUCUGCUAAAUCGUAAGAUGAUGUAUAGGGGGUGACGCCUGCCCGGUGCUGGAAGGUUAAGAGGAGUGCUUAGCGUAAGCGAAGGUAUGAAUUGAAGCCCCAGUAAACGGCGGCCGUAACUAUAACGGUCCUAAGGUAGCGAAAUUCCUUGUCGGGUAAGUUCCGACCCGCACGAAAGGCGUAAUGAUUUGGGCACUGUCUCAACGAGAGACUCGGUGAAAUUUUAGUACCUGUGAAGAUGCAGGUUACCCGCGACAGGACGGAAAGACCCCAUGGAGCUUUACUGCAGUUUGAUAUUGAGUAUCUGUACCACAUGUACAGGAUAGGUAGGAGCCUAUGAUAACGGGACGCCAGUUUCGUUUGAGGCGUUGUUGGGAUACUACCCUUGUGUUAUGGCUACUCUAACCCAGAUAGGCAAUCCCUAUCGGAGACAGUGUCUGACGGGCAGUUUGACUGGGGCGGUCGCCUCCUAAAAGGUAACGGAGGCGCCCAAAGG